This 468-nucleotide ribosomal RNA is filed under the name uncultured bacterium. RNAcentral's name for it is "partial 16S ribosomal RNA". It matches the Rfam family "Bacterial small subunit ribosomal RNA", at positions 28 to 507 of the family's 1533-position model. The record is from RNAcentral.
GACGAACGCUGGCGGCGUGCUUAACACAUGCAAGUCGAACGGAAAGGCCCUGCUUUUGUGGGGUGCUCGAGUGGCGAACGGGUGAGUAACACGUGAGUAACCUGCCCUUGACUUUGGGAUAACUUCAGGAAACUGGGGCUAAUACCGGAUAGGAGCUCCUGCUGCAUGGUGGGGGUUGGAAAGUUUCGGCGGUUGGGGAUGGACUCGCGGCUUAUCAGCUUGUUGGUGGGGUAGUGGCUUACCAAGGCUUUGACGGGUAGCCGGCCUGAGAGGGUGACCGGCCACAUGAGGACUGAGAUACGGACCAGAAUGCUACGGGAGGCAGCAGUGGAGAAUAUUGCACAAUGGGCGGAAGCCUGAUGCAGCAACGCCGCGUGCGGGAUGACGGCCUUCGGGUUGUAAACCGCUUUCGCCUGUGACGAAGCGUGAGUGACGGUAAUGGGUAAAGAAGCACCGGCUAACUACGUG